CCUCGGCAUCCUUCCCAAUUCCCAUCGCUCUCCCUCUCUCGCUGAUAUUCUUUUCCUGCCGCGUGUGCCUGGUUCUGCUCGCCGGACAGCCGAGUGCUCCAUCUUCCAGCUCGCCAACUCCCUGGCCGGCGCUCGGCCUCCAGCUCACCUAUGCCCUCCAGCUCGCCGAGUUUCUCUCUGCCCUCACCCAUGGCGCUUGGCCGCCCUCCUGCUGCUCCCUGGCGCGCUCGUCCAUGGCCGCCGUGCGCAGGUGGUGGUUCCGUCGUCUUCCUCGAGCUCGAUACGCCGGUCCGAGCUGGCUGUCCUUGCUCCCUGCGCGCGCUCCUUUUCUGCCUCCCAUGGCCGUCGCGCCGUCUUUGCUCGUUGGGCCGUGCGUUGCCGCGCACACGUGCCCGGCACCCCUGCUCCGUACGCCUUAGCUGCGCGUGCCGGACUGCGUCCUUCGCAGCUCGCUGGCUUUAGCCACAGGACGCCACCAAUCGUGCCUUCGCAUCCUGUGUUCUCGACUUGUCCACAGCGUCGUCGUGGUGUUACGGUCUCGCCAUAAUUCCCUGGUGAUUUGCUCGCCGAACCUCCAGCUUCCUCGCGCUCGGCUCCCUGGUAUUCCAGCUGGUCGUCGUGUCGUUCGCCGUUGAGCCCGUCGUCGCGUCGUUCGCCGUUGAGCCUGUCGUUCUCCUCUGUACUCGCUGCCCAUCGCGGCGUCCCUAGUCUGUCGCGCCGCGCUCUGUGUCAUCGCCGUCGUUGUUUUUGGAGUUCAUCGUGACGCGCUGCCGAUGAUCUGCGUAUAGCUGGAGAUCUUCGCAAGUUCAAGCAGCGUUAUUUAGCGCUAUGUUUGUUUCCUUUGUAUGUUUGCGUGUAGGUUCAUUCCCUACGGGGCAUCACAGUUUGCGUUAAGCACGUUUGAUUCCAUUUAGUUCACUUGCACGCCAGGUGUUCGAUGAAUCGUUUGAACCGGGACUUGUUGUUGUUUCCACGACUUCUGAGUCAAAUUAGCAUUAGUGAGUCGGUUUGUUAAUUCGCUAGCUAGUUUGAUGUAUAAAUGUGUUCGAUGGAUUUAUUGGUUUAGUAUAUUAAUUGCGAUAAUUUUCGUGUCAGGAUGUAGAUGUGUUGUGAUUGUAUUAGAUGUUUGCUAAUGUCUUAUAUAUGAGAUGUAUGUUCGGAUUGGUGACAUGGAGGAUAGGUCUAGUAUUUUUAUCGGCUAGCCAACUGUGCUUCAGUGUUAUGACACUUUUAUUUACUAAGAUGUAGUCGAUGCUCGGCUCUAGGAGUCGUGCCAUGUAGCUAAGUUUAGGUUCAAAGACGUAGGUUAUGCGAGGAGGAUUAAAUUGGUGUUUCAUAUCCGAAGUAUGGUCGAAUUAAUAUUACACAGAAUAAGUCUUGUGUUUCUAACGACUAGCCGAUACGUGCUGUUAGUAUUGCGUAUGACGGAUUUCAUUUGUUGGUAUGAAGUCGAUGACCUGUUGCGAUAGCCGUUAUGUUCUGUGUUUGCUGAUCGGUAAAUGUCAUAGUCAGAUAUUGAUUAGUUAGAUUAGUAGUCGUGAUUAAAUGUUUAUUUUUAUUUUUUGUCUUGGUUAGGGUUACCCAAAAUAAUUAGGAAAGCAGUUUCACAGAACUUUAUGUUGUAUAAUAAUGUUCUACUCGUUAGACUAAGGAUAAAUGAAAUAUUUAAUUUAGUGGGUCUUAUGCAUAAUAGCUGAGAAUAGUAAUUCUAGAAGCUAAUGGAAUGGUUUCUAGUUUUAGUCUGAGUUUAGACGUUGUGCUCUAGUUAAGAGAGAUAGGGUGCUUAUAAAUGGUUCGCUAUGGUUUGCUGUUAGAAUUAGAUCUGAUGAAAUAAGAAGCGUGAAUAUUAUAGUUCGUCUUAUAUCGACAGCUGGCGUUUCCUGUAAUUGGUUCUAAUGACUUGUUAGUAGUGUGUAAUCCUCGACCGUGUAACAUUGUCUAGUAUUGUGCUAGUUCUUCUUAUAUUCAUACAUGUGCAUUAUGCAUUUCAUUUAGGUACGAUAAUUAAUCACGUGAGGCGGAAUACGAGCCAAGUCGACCCCAAGAUGACGUAACGGGUGGACUACUCCGCAUGGUGAAGCUGAUGGACGAAACUGAAGAUGGAUAAACUGAACAAGUGCCAACCCAAAAGGUUGGCUGCCAAUUGGACGUCAUCUAACAAACACUAACAUAGUGUUUAUUCCAGGCAAGCCCCGGUACAUGCAACUCCUUCCUUGUGUUUUUAAAUAAUUUUUACACACUUUAAGUCUAGCGAAAUGUGCAUUAGGUUAUAGGAGUUGCUUGGAAACCCUUUGAUGCAUCGACUACCUUGAUAUCCAUUCCUGUUAUAGGUACUUUGGAAGUAUCAAAAUAUGAUUUACAAAAAUUCUUAGCCCUGCUUAGAUCUUGUGGAUAGAGGUUGUCUUUUGCAAUACUGCCUAGAUCUUGUGGAUAGAGGUUGUCUUUUGCAAUACUGCCUAGAUCUUGUGGAUAGAGGUUGUCUUUUGCUUAGAUCUUGAGGAAGGAUGGCUUCUACCUACAAGGAUAUUUUCAUUGGGAGCAUGGUGGGAUCUUACUGCAAAGUUCCCUAUAAUGCUCUUUUCAUCCUAAGGAACACAAACAAUACUAAGGAUGAAAGUACUUAAAUCAGGACUUGGGCUAGGAACAGGUGAUGCUCCACCCAGGUUAAUUAAGGAUUGGAUGCGUAUGUAGGAUUGGAUCCCCAGAGAGUGGAGACUUGAUCUCCGGCCUACAACCUAAGUCAGGAUGUAAACAUUAUGAAUAAAAAUGAUGUUGUAUUGAUGAGAUGGUGAAAUUAGACUAGAUGCAACCAGAGUCUAUUAAUACUUAAUCUGGCGUUAAAAUAUUGAAAGUAAGGACUCACUUUAGUAAGCUAUUUCUACAAAAGUAUCUAAGUUGAUUCUUGCUAAAGCCUUUUCCUUGAUUCCUAUUUAACCAGCAUAUCCUUGAGUCAUUUUUCCUUAGUCGGGUAAGACUUGCAAAAGUACACCUCGUACUCAGGGUUUUCGAACCCAUGUUGUUGCAGGUACUUGAUUUGUGAUGUUGUGAAUGGUGUUAAGCGCCGGUGGGCAUGACCUCCUUAUAAGUCUAAGUAACUCUUCUAUACUUCUUAUUGAGGAUGGCCACUUAAGCUAGCAUAUAUUUCAAAAUUAUAAAUAAUUUAUAACAUUUCAAAGUUUAUUUCUUUGAAUCACUUUGUAAUCACUCUGAUAAACAUAAUGUAAAUUUGUUGUAACUUGUAACU
RNAcentral lists this long non-coding RNA (3244 nucleotides) under Zea mays. RNAcentral's name for it is "long non-coding RNA (ZMAY_LNC005650)". Lineage: Eukaryota; Viridiplantae; Streptophyta; Magnoliopsida; Poales; Poaceae. The record is from RNAcentral.